RNAcentral lists this ribosomal RNA (492 nucleotides) under uncultured bacterium. RNAcentral's name for it is "partial 16S ribosomal RNA". It matches the Rfam family "Bacterial small subunit ribosomal RNA", at positions 29 to 507 of the family's 1533-position model. The record is from RNAcentral.
AGUGAACGCUGGCGGUAGGCCUAACACAUGCAAGUCGAACGGCAGCACAGUAAGAGCUUGCUCUUACGGGUGGCGAGUGGCGGACGGGUGAGGAAUACAUCGGAAUCUACUUUUUCGUGGGGGAUAACGUAGGGAAACUUACGCUAAUACCGCAUACGACCUACGGGUGAAAGCAGGGGAUCUUCGGACCUUGCGCGAUUGAAUGAGCCGAUGUCGGAUUAGCUAGUUGGCGGGGUAAAGGCCCACCAAGGCGACGAUCCGUAGCUGGUCUGAGAGGAUGAUCAGCCACACUGGAACUGAGACACGGUCCAGACUCCUACGGGAGGCAGCAGUGGGGAAUAUUGGACAAUGGGCGCAAGCCUGAUCCAGCCAUACCGCGUGGGUGAAGAAGGCCUUCGGGUCGUAAAGCCCCUUUGUUGGGAAAGAAAAGCAGCAGGUUAAUACCCCGCUGUUCUGACGGUACCCAAAGAAUAAGCACCGGCUAACUUCGUG